Molecule: non-coding RNA, 156 nt
Filed under: Chattonella subsalsa
Lineage: Eukaryota; Raphidophyceae; Chattonellales; Chattonellaceae
Source: RNAcentral
UUAUUGAAAAAGUGGGUUUAUCUUUUUGUACUUUGUUCCACUUGUUUUGGUGUUUUAAGUUUUGAUAAAUAUUUUGAGUAUUGUAUUUUUCCUAAUAUGUUUAACAGAACUGUUGAAAAUCUAGUGAUACUAAACUAAGCAUUCAGAGCAUAGACC